UUGUGGAGUUGUGGUUCUGGGUCUUGGUCCUUUGCAUCAGCAAAGUCAUGCCAUGAGCGGUCGCAAGAACGCCAACUGAACGGGGCUCACUCUC
RNAcentral lists this non-coding RNA (94 nucleotides) under uncultured Symbiodinium. Lineage: Eukaryota; Dinophyceae; Suessiales; Symbiodiniaceae. The record is from RNAcentral.